UCCUGACCCAGCUUCACUGAGGACACGUUUGUUGUUUCUCGGAAGUGACGAAACCAAAGUACCGAUGGCGGCUCACAGUUUGCUCCCGGAUAUGUACUGAAACGAAUUUGAUGGCGUCUGAUUGGACUUUUUGCACACUUGGCCAUUUGUAUGAAGUCUUGAGAUUAACAUCGAACCUGUCGAGCACAAGAAUCGUCAAUCCGAGGAGGAAUAAUUUGCUGUAGAGCUGGCUAGAUCCAGAGCUAGCUGCCCUGUCAAUGAAAUUCAAGUGCAGUUAGCCUGUGAUCGCAGAGGUUUGUUUGUGUGCGUGGCUACACACUUUAAGACGUUUGACAUUUUAGCAGUUUUGUGACACUGGCUGGUCCAAGUGCAGCAGAGUCUUAGGUUUGUGUAGUUCAGCUAGCCUCGCUUGCGUUACUUUAAAAGCAAAGAAGCGGCGGGAAGUGGUUAGCCGACCUGAUUAGCUCUAGCCGUAGUUCCAGCUCUUCUGAAGUCAUUGGUCUCUAGUGGAUAGUGUGAGUCUCUUCUAUGAUUCACCGGUUCGCCGUUCAUCGACUGUCAGCAUGUUGAAGACACGUCAGUGUUUACUUGGGAUUCGUACCUUCCUUGGAGUGACGUCUAGAAUAUGGAGUUUCAUUUUAUACAUCCUCAGGAAGCAUUUACGAACGAUAAUCCAGUACCAAACAGUGCGUUAUGACACAUUACCUCUCUCCCCUAUUUCCAGAAACAGACUCAAUGCGGUAAAGAGGAAGAUAUUGGUGUUGGAUCUGGAUGAGACCUUGAUUCAUUCUCACCAUGAUGGUGUCCUUAGACCUACAGUGAGGCCUGGUACACCGCCAGACUUUAUCCUCAAGGUGGUAAUAGACAAACACCCAGUCAGGUUUUUUGUCCAUAAAAGGCCACACGUCGACUUCUUUUUAGAAGUGGUUAGUCAGUGGUAUGAGCUGGUAGUAUUUACAGCUAGUAUGGAGAUAUAUGGAUCGGCUGUAGCAGAUAAGCUGGAUAACAACAGGGAUAUCCUCAAAAGAAGAUACUACAGACAGCACUGCACUCUGGAUUUAGGAAGCUACAUAAAAGAUCUGUCUGUAGUACACAGUGAUCUCUCCAGUAUAGUCAUUCUGGACAACUCGCCUGGAGCUUAUCGAAGUCACCCAGACAAUGCAAUACCUAUAAAGUCGUGGUUCAGUGACCCAAGCGACACAGCACUUCUUAACCUGCUCCCAAUGUUGGAUGCAUUGAGUUCAAUACGGUCAAUACAGUUCAGAAUGUCAAAACUCCCACUUCAUUUUCUUCCCCAACUUUAAAAUCAUCCUACAUCGCUGCAGAAGUCCCAACUAAGUGUUUACAAGGUGAUCAUGCAAAGAACAUCAAACGCCCUUUACAAAAAAUAAGGUAAAACAGAGGAGUAGGACGAUUUUGACGUGGAAGAAGAAAUUGAGACAGGAGUUUUUCGACAUACCCUAACUAUAUUGACCUGGAUUACACAGACUACUUAUGCAUCGCAGAGAUGAGGCAAGACAAGCAUUUGAGGUUUACCUCAGAUGUUCGCUCCGUCCUCAGUCGAAAUCUCCACCAGCAUCGGCUUUGGUGAUCGUAUCUGUCAGGGCCAGUCUCUCUUCUGGUCAGCGUCUGGUUUUUACACAGCUCUGCCCGCUAAGUGUUAGCCUCUCCUGCGUUGGAACUGUCAGCCUCUCGUCAUUGUGAGCUCCCAUUAGUCUUAUGGACUCCUCUGAGGAAAUGCUAUGAGAAGACAUGGGGGGACAGAAAGGAGACACACAUGAUGAAGAAGCUAUUACAAAUAAACUCAAGACAAAUGGAGAGGCCAGCAUUUUUUCUUGUAUUUUUUUUUUUU
Molecule: RNA transcript, 1852 nt
Organism: Labeo rohita (rohu)
Lineage: Eukaryota; Metazoa; Chordata; Actinopteri; Cypriniformes; Cyprinidae
Gene: ctdnep1a
Gene name: CTD nuclear envelope phosphatase 1a
Exons: 9
Source: RefSeq, a predicted model, not a curated record